RNAcentral lists this ribosomal RNA (221 nucleotides) under Haptolina ericina. Its description in RNAcentral is "partial Bacterial large subunit ribosomal RNA". It matches the Rfam family "Bacterial large subunit ribosomal RNA", at positions 2062 to 2282 of the family's 2925-position model. Lineage: Eukaryota; Haptophyta; Prymnesiales; Prymnesiaceae. The record is from RNAcentral.
CAGGUUUCCCGCGGUUAGACGGAAAGACCCCGUGCACCUUUACUACAACUUCACACUGGCAUUAGGCCGAACAUGUGCAGGAUAGGUGGUGGGCUUUGAAGCGUGAACGCCAGUUUGCGUGGAGCCUCCCUUGAGAUACCACCCUUGUUCUGCUUGAUGUCUAACCGCGGUCCGUUAUCCGGAUCCGGGACCCUGUGUGGUGGGUAGUUUGACUGGGGCGG